Molecule: transfer RNA, 83 nt
Rfam family: tRNA
About the family: Transfer RNA (tRNA) molecules are approximately 80 nucleotides in length. Their secondary structure includes four short double-helical elements and three loops (D, anti-codon, and T loops).
GGCCUGGUGGUCUAGUAGUAUGAUUCCUUCUUAGGGUUUAAACCAAUUGGAGGAGGUCCCGGGUUCAAUUCCCGGCCAGGCCC